GUCCCUGUAGCGCAAUGGAUAGCACGUUGGACUUCUCAUCUAAAGGUCGAGGGUUUGAAUCCCUUCAGGGAUG
This 73-nucleotide transfer RNA is filed under the name Trichonephila inaurata madagascariensis. It matches the Rfam family "tRNA". From Rfam's summary of the family: Transfer RNA (tRNA) molecules are approximately 80 nucleotides in length. Their secondary structure includes four short double-helical elements and three loops (D, anti-codon, and T loops). Further hydrogen bonds mediate the characteristic L-shaped molecular structure. tRNAs have two regions of fundamental functional importance: the anti-codon, which is responsible for specific mRNA codon recognition, and the 3' end, to which the tRNAs corresponding amino acid is attached (by aminoacyl-tRNA synthetases). tRNAs cope with the degeneracy of the genetic code in two manners: having more than one tRNA (with a specific anti-codon) for a particular amino acid; and 'wobble' base-pairing, i.e. permitting non-standard base-pairing at the 3rd anti-codon position. The record is from Rfam by way of RNAcentral. Lineage: Eukaryota; Metazoa; Arthropoda; Arachnida; Araneae; Nephilidae.